UCAUAUUCCAAUAAACUAGGUGCCUUUGCGGAUGCAAAGGGUAACAGGGAAUCGGGUGCAAAUCCCGAGCGGUCCCGCCACUGUAUACAGGGAGUUUUCUUUUCGAACGUCACUUGGGUAAAACCGGGGAAGACAAAAGAAAACGUCGAUCUGAAGCCAGGAGACCUACCUAGUUUGUAUCGCCAUA
This 187-nucleotide non-coding RNA is filed under the name Paenibacillus beijingensis. Lineage: Bacteria; Bacillati; Bacillota; Bacilli; Caryophanales; Paenibacillaceae. The record is from RNAcentral.